AAAGAGAAAGAGAAAGAGAGAGAGAGAGAGAGAAAAUGAUAUUAGGAAAUUUCUGUCCACCUUGAGAAAACGAUGUUUAACGAUCAAUGUAAAUUGUAUCUAAGCUAAAUUGAAUUUAAUACGAGAACACAAGUUAUUCCGUCUUACCAGUUCUGCGUUAACACGUACACUGAGAUAAUUCUAAAGUCUAGAGAUAUAGAUAUGUUUGUAUGUAUGUAAAUAUAUAACAGAAGUCCUUUAUCGUUCUUCACCUUUCACGUAGCAAGGACGAAACAUAACAAAACUUUUCUAUUGACUGAUCGAGCUAAACGAUAUUACGUCAUUCGAGAGAGAAAUAGAGAUAACACACGUGCGUGUGUGUGUGUGUGUGUGUGUGAGGGAGAGAGAGAGAGAGAGAGAGAGAGAGAGAGAGAUUUACUUGGAAUUGGAAAAUGAUUUGUAUACAAAAUAAUUCAUACGUUUAAGCAAGACAGUUAAGAAAAACAUUGGCAGAGAAAAUAUAGAACGGCAUGGUUCUAGAAAGAAAGAGAAAAACGAUGUACGUACGUACCAUCGCAUGCAUGCAUGCAUGCAUGCAUGUAUGUAUGUAUGUAUGUAAGAAAAUAAAAGAAAGAGAGACAGAAAGAGAGAAAAAGGGACGACGAGUCGCGCCAAUUACGAACUCGUUCGAAGACAGCCAUUAAGAGUCUCGACAAACAAACGACUUUCCCUUUUUGCCAUCUCGAAGCUCGAUCGUCCUAACGACCGGCGGUACACCUUCUCGCCAACUGCGAAAGAGAGAUAGAUAGAUAGAGAAAGAGAGAGAGAGAGAGAGAGAGAGAGAGAGAAAGAUAUAUAUAUAUACAGAAAGAAAGAGAGAAAGAGAGAGAGCAAUGUUUUCUUUUUUCUUAUUCGCUCUCCUUCUACCCCUCUUAUUCCCCGAUCGGUUUCUUUGUCAAGCUUCGCGAGCCUUUGAUCUCAGAGUCAGGACGACAACGACGAUGGCGACGACGUCGACGACGACGACGACGACGACGACGACGACGAUGGCGACGACGACGACGACGACGACGAGGAGCGCAUACCGUUCGCCGAUCGUCCGGUUCGACCGGAUUUUCCACAGGGUUCUGUCGUUUGCUUGUGUGCUAAGACGAAUCGGUAACAACAGCGACAUAGGAUAUACCUAACUCUUCAACAAAUAUUCUAAACUGGGAUAUAAGGUGUCAUUGUGAAACACGCGACGAAGGAGAGCCUCGAGUAAAUCGAUCCAUCGCUCGUAUCGAAAGUCCAGGCUUGUAUUCGCCGCAAGAUAUAAAGAGCGAUACAGAAUGCUUAUAAGAACGAUAGAAACGGGCGUGAGCAAAAUGGACGCAAGAGGAAACUGCGAUGUCCGACGGUGGAGGAGAGCCGUUCUCAUGUCAUGAUAACUAAGUAUCCAGUAUCGAGAAUGUAAUGGCAUAGAACGCCAUUGCCGAUUGUGUAAAAUCGAACAUAUAGUGUAUGGACGAUAACGAUGACAACGAUGAUGAUGAUGAUGAUGAUGAUGAUGAUGAUGAUGAUGAUGAUGAUGAUGAUGACUACGACGAGGACGAGGACGAGAACGAUGAUGACGAUGACGAUGAUAAUACACAUAUACAUAUGUAUCGAGGAAACAUAGAUGAUCCACGAGUUGAGUAGGUAGUAGAACGAAGUACCGAGGACCGCCGCCGACGACGACAACAACAACGACAACGACAACAACGACAACGACAACGACAACGACAACAACGACAACGACAGCAAAGACGAUGACGACGGUUUAUCGAGGUCGACCGGUUCUCCAGCAGCCGUCAGUCGUUAAGGGACAUUGCGACACGCGCGCGCGCGUGAGCGAGCACGAGUAAGCAUAGAUAGACACACACACACACACACAUACACACAUACGUACACGUAUCACAUAUACCGCAUAUACCACAUUAAAAGGAAAAAAAGGAUAGUCUCUUUUCUAUCUCCGUGAACAGUCAGCCCUCCGUCUCUACCCUCGCCCUCCCCUUCCCACCCUUUCCAUCAAGCAAAUCCUCCCCUCCCCCGCUCCUCCUCCUACCGCUCUCCCCGCCAUGUCUUAGACGACGUGAUCGUUGACGAGCUCCGGAGAGAACUCUAGGAAUCGCAAAUAAAUUCUUAUUAGCUCGAAUGGAUAUUCGCCCGGCCCCCCUUCCCCCCACCGCAACCAUCCUCCCCCUUACCACUACUAACGAUGGAUGUUUUGCUUCUGGAUGGUGCACGACAAUGCGAUCUUUUUUCCUCUUUUUUUUUUUUGCGUUUUUUUCACGUUUUCUUGUUUCUUUUCUCGUUUAUCUCCCUUUCUUUCCUUCUCUUGCUUAUUAUUAUUAUUAUUAUUAUUAUUAUUAAUAUUAUUAUUAUUCAAAGAAAAUCGUGCACAAAGGCCACGCCUAAUCGACCCACGUUAUUUCCUUCGUCUCUUAUUGCAAUCUCGACUUAUGUAUUUAUUAUAUAAUGUAGGAUUUUGUAAUCAAAGAAAUU
Molecule: long non-coding RNA, 2502 nt
Organism: Vespa velutina
Lineage: Eukaryota; Metazoa; Arthropoda; Insecta; Hymenoptera; Vespidae
Exons: 4
Source: RefSeq, a predicted model, not a curated record